RNAcentral lists this ribosomal RNA (795 nucleotides) under uncultured bacterium. RNAcentral describes it as "bacterial SSU rRNA". It matches the Rfam family "Bacterial small subunit ribosomal RNA", at positions 55 to 853 of the family's 1533-position model. The record is from RNAcentral.
AUGCAGUCGUACGAGAAAGCCCCUUUCGGGGGGUGAGUAAAGUGGCGCACGGGUGAGUAACACGUAGACAACCUGCCUUCCAGUUCGGGAUAACCUUUCGAAAGAAGGGCUAAUACCGGAUAACACUCCGCCUCGCAUGGGGCGGGGUUGAAAGGGUGUUCCUUCGGGGGCAUCGCGCUGGUAGAGGGGUCUGCGGGGCAUUAGCUUGUUGGUGAGGUAAAGGCUCACCAAGGCCAUGAUGUCUAGCGGGUCUGAGAGGAUGAUCCGUCACACUGGAACUGAGACACGGUCCAGACACCUACGGGAGGCAGCAGUGGGGAAUUUUGCGCAAUGGGCGCAAGCCUGACGCAGCAACGCCGCGUGAGUGAAGAAGGCCCUUGGGUCGUAAAGCUCUUUUCUGGGGGAAGAUGAUGACGGUACCCCAGGAAUAAGCACCGGCUAACUCCGUGCCAGCAGCCGCGGUAAGACGGAGGGUGCAAGCGUUGUUCGGAUUUACUGGGCGUAAAGGGCGUGUAGGCGGAAUUGCAAGCCGGGGGUGAAAGGCCUGGGCUCAACCCAGGACGGUCUUCCGGAACCGCAGCUCUAGAGAGAGUCAGAGGCAGGUGGAAUUCCAGGUGUAGAGGUGAAAUUCGUAGAUAUCUGGAGGAACACCGGCGGCGAAGGCGGCCUGCUGGGGCUCUUCUGACGCUGAGGCGCGAAAGCGUGGGUAGCAAACAGGAUUAGAUACCCUGGUAGUCCACGCUGUAAACGAUGAGCACUAGAUGUGCGCGGUACGACCCCGCGUGUGUCGCAGCU